UUGACCUCAAAUCAGGUAGGAUUACCCGCUGAACUUAAGCAUAUCAAUAAGCGGAGGAAAAGAAACUAACAAGGAUUCCCCUAGUAACUGCGAGUGAAGCGGGAAAAGCUCAAAUUUAAAAUCUGGCGGUCGUUGGCUGUCCGAGUUGUAAUCUAGAGAAGUGUUACCUGUGCUGGACCGUGUACAAGUCUCCUGGAAUGGAGCAUCAUAGAGGGUGAGAAUCCCGUCUUUGACAUGGACUGCCUGUACAUGAUGGUGCGCUCUCGAAGAGUCGAGUUGUUUGGGAAUGCAGCUCAAAAUGGGUGGUAAAUGCCAUCUAAAGCUAAAUAUUGGCGAGAGACCGAUAGCGAACAAGUACCGUGAGGGAAAGAUGAAAAGAACUUUGGAAAGAGAGUUAAACAGUACGUGAAAUUGCUGAAAGGGAAACGCUUGAAGUCAGUCGUGUUGGCUAGAAAUCAGCCUUGCUCUUGCUCGGUGUACUUUCUUGUCGACGGGUCAGCAUCAGUUUUGACCAUUGGAGAAGGACAUUGGGAAUGUGGCAUCCUUGGAUGUGUUAUAGCCCGGUGUCGCAUACGAUGGUUGGGAUUGAGGAACUCAGCACGCCGCAAGGCCGGGUCUCUGACCACGUUCGUGCUUAGGAUGCUGGCAUAAUGGCUUUAAUCGACCCGUC
RNAcentral lists this ribosomal RNA (670 nucleotides) under Inocybe cf. rennyi UBC F19299. RNAcentral describes it as "eukaryotic LSU rRNA". It matches the Rfam family "Eukaryotic large subunit ribosomal RNA", at positions 1 to 653 of the family's 3401-position model. The record is from RNAcentral. Lineage: Eukaryota; Fungi; Basidiomycota; Agaricomycetes; Agaricales; Inocybaceae.